AGUGAACGCUGGCGGUAGGCCUAACACAUGCAAGUCGAACGGCAGCACAGGAGAGCUUGCUCUCUGGGUGGCGAGUGGCGGACGGGUGAGGAAUACAUCGGAAUCUACUCUGUCGUGGGGGAUAACGUAGGGAAACCUACGCUACUACCGCAUACGACCUACGGGUGAAAGCAGGGGAUCUUCGGACCUUGCGCGAUUGAAUGCGCCGAUGUCGGAUUAGCUAGUUGGCGGGGUAAAGGCCCACCAAGGCGUCGAUCCGUAGCUGGUCUGAGAGGAUGAUCAGCCACACUGGAACUGAGACACGGUCCAGACUCCUACGGGAGGCAGCAGUGGGGAAUAUUGGACAAUGGGCGCAAGCCUGAUCCAGCCAUACCGCGUGGGUGAAGAAGGCCUUCGGGUUGUAAAGCCCUUUUGUUGGGAAAGAAAUCCAGCUGGCUAAUACCCGGUUGGGAUGACGGUACCCAAAGAAUAAGCACCGGCUAACUUCGUGCCAGCCGCCGCGGUAA
Molecule: ribosomal RNA, 506 nt
Filed under: uncultured bacterium
Lineage: Bacteria
Description: partial 16S ribosomal RNA
Rfam family: Bacterial small subunit ribosomal RNA
Source: RNAcentral